Musa acuminata AAA Group (dessert banana) is the source of this 542-nucleotide long non-coding RNA. RefSeq lists it as uncharacterized. The record is from RefSeq and is a predicted model, not a curated record. NCBI's taxonomy places the organism in Eukaryota, Viridiplantae, Streptophyta, Magnoliopsida, Zingiberales, Musaceae. The transcript is spliced from 2 exons.
UGGGCGAAAUACCUUUUAUUUGUAAAUACUUGAGGUAUACCACUUCAAUGGUGGUCAGGAAAGUAGGUGGCCACACGAAGACAUUGGAGGCAAAGCACAGUGCUGUUCCAUGGACCAGACGAUGAGGCAGAAGAGGCUUGUCGGGAUGGAAGGCGCCCACGUGGGAGGCGGCCACCUCACCCUUCUUCCGCCAUGCUCGCGCAGGUGACCCUGCACCCCGGUCAAAGCAGUCAAAGCGGCAAGCCAACGCAGUAAUGGGGGGACUGUGGAGGACCAGCGCGCGGCAUCAGACUCGCAAUGCAGAACGAGAGAAGGUGGAAAGGACCGGAGGAUAACUGCUCUAUUAGCUUCCCCUUACGAAGAUACAGAAACACGAGGAGGAGAGAGAGAGAGAAAGAGCAGCAGCAGCAGCAGCAGCAGAGGUAGAUCUCGAGAGAUCUCAAGGAAAGCGAUGGAGCUCAGACACCGUCAGAUCUGCUCGGUAUCAGAGACGUCGGGCUCUCUCUCUCUCUCUCUCUCUCUCUCUCUCUCUCUCUCUCUCU